AUUGAACGCUGGCGGCAGGCUUAACACAUGCAAGUCGAGCGGGGUGAUGGUGCUUGCACUAUCACUUAGCGGCGGACGGGUGAGUAAUGCUUAGGAAUCUGCCUAUUAGUGGGGGACAACAUCUCGAAAGGGAUGCUAAUACCGCAUACGUCCUACGGGAGAGAGCAGGGGAUCACUUGUGACCUUGCGCUAAUAGAUGAGCCUAAGUCGGAUUAGCUAGUUGGUGGGGUAAAGGCCUACCAAGGCGACGAUCUGUAGCGGGUCUGAGAGGAUGAUCCGCCACACUGGGACUGAGAAACGGCCCAGACUCCUACGGGAGGCAGCAGUGGGGAAUAUUGGACAAUGGGGGGAACCCUGAUCUAGCCAUGCCGCGUGUGUGAAGAAGGCCUUAUGGUUGUAAAGCACUUUAAGCGAGGAGGAGGCUCUUUUGGUUAAUACCCAAGAUGAGUGGACGUUACUCGCAGAAUAAGCACCGGCUAACUCUGUGCCAGCCGCCGCAGUAA
Molecule: ribosomal RNA, 503 nt
Filed under: uncultured bacterium
Lineage: Bacteria
Description: partial 16S ribosomal RNA
Rfam family: Bacterial small subunit ribosomal RNA
Source: RNAcentral